AGAAUGGAUCUAGUACGUGUCGUCUCUUGUGAAUAUCUUGAAGUUCGAAUACGGCAGCCGAGUGUACUUGUCGGAAUGCUUAUAAACUUUUUACAGCACACACUGGCCAUAAUACCUUUCCCCAUUUCAAACAUUCAGUUCCAUUAGACACAAGCAAAAUUCCUCCGUCAGUCACAAAACACAUCAAACUCAAAAAAAUUGCGUUUUUAACCAUCCAAACAAACUAAAUCUAGCGUGGAGAAUGAGUUUAAGACUGUUAACUACAUAACCAGAGCAAGC
Cydia fagiglandana is the source of this 279-nucleotide long non-coding RNA. RefSeq lists it as uncharacterized. NCBI's taxonomy places the organism in Eukaryota, Metazoa, Arthropoda, Insecta, Lepidoptera, Tortricidae. The record is from RefSeq and is a predicted model, not a curated record. The transcript has 2 exons.